CGCACCAUGACAUUUUGGGUCCAAAUUCGGCGUUACGUCAUUUGAGAAAACAUCGAUUAAAGUUACGUCACAAAAAAUGGUGGACGUUACCACGUGUUCGCGGCAAUUAAUGCAUUAAUGUUUUCAAUAAUACUCUACCUUGCCACAAGAAAUAAAUGAAGUGACAUAAACAUUUCCUUGUUUUGCAAUUUCGUUUCUUUAAAUUUUUAAAAUGAUUGAUAAUUUAUCGCCCUUUGAAUCGACACGCCAUUUGUAAACAUCGAAGGUCGCGGAGAAAAUGAAAUUACCAAAAACAGUUAUUUGAUGAUUUAUUUCGAUUGUAUAAAGAAUCACAGUUAACGAAUCUCAAGAUCAACCACUGAGGAUUGUUUGGCUUGAUGCAAUGACCUUAAACAGUUAAAGGAUUUUCCAGGAAGGUCUAUACACCACAAGCUGGAUUUUUUGGGGUGAUGAAAGAACUAUGAAUAUGUGAAAGGGAAUGAAACAGAAUGAAUUAAUAUGUUAUACUGAUCAUCCAGCUGAAAUCAUGCCUAUGGAAUAGAGUGCAUGUCACAAAUACUGAUAUGAGCAAAUAACUUCAUAUUGCACAAAUAAGUUCAUGUUUCCUGCCCUCAUGACCUGAAAAAGUUAAACAGUCUAAUUCAAAUUACAUAUGUGUUUCAAGAAAAAGUAAAACUUAGUCAACUGUGAGAAACAUUGGGUAAAAGUAUUUUAUAAGUGUUUUGUUGCCAUGACAGCAGAAUUGUUCUAACAAUACAGAAUUUAACUUAUGAAUUUUCCAAAACUGCAUGCAUGAAAUACUAAGACAUGUCUGUUGAAUAAAUCCUAGUUGUUUCAAAACUACAACAUGUAUGACAUUUAGAGCACAACCUUUGGAUGAAACAUUUUUACAAUCAAAACUGCCUUGCCAGUGUGGGUGUAGGAAGGAUUUUCCCAGAAAUGGCCAUGACAGAAAACUUCCAAUAUAGCAGAAAAUAUUUGUUUCUGGCUAAAUAUAAUAUAUUUUAUUUCAAGCAUUAAUCAUGUAAAUCCAUGGUUAUAACUGUGUUAAAAGAUAUUUUUACAUGAACUUUGCAGAAAUAGCUAAUUUUGUUGCAAAACAUUGUGAGUUGCCAUGGUAACACAAAUUUGACUUUAAUUUAGAUUUGUUUGAUUAUGUAGACAGCAUGUUUCUUAUUUAUAUUCUGCAAAUCAGACUAAUAUCUUUUAUGUGUAAUCAUUGCAUCAACAAAACAUGUCAUAACACAAAUCUGCCAUAAAAUGGCAGAGUUGUAAUGCAAAAUAUGUAGUUCUCAGUGUCAAAUUAUAUUACAUGAAACAUGUUUUUUUUUUAAUAAAUGAUCAUAAUUGACCAUUUGUGGUGUAAAACAAAUGUAUACUGAACAGAUGCUAAAUGAAUGUUCUGAUUCUUUAAGAAAAUAUUGCAUUGUUGCCAUGGUAACAUUAAUUUGACUUUUAAAUUAUUUUGGAUAUCAUCAUAUGUAAACAACAUCUUUCUUGUUUAUAUGUUAUAUUUGUUAAGCUGUAUUAUGUUAGUGAAUAUAUUUUCAUAUGUAAUAAUUGCAUCAGCAAAGCACUAUGUUAUCACACAAGUCUGCCUUAAAAUGGCAAGAGCUGUAACUGAGAGAGGUGUAUCCGAAAAGUAUGUAUUUCUCAAACAAUAUUACAUUAAUUUGCAUGGAAUGAUGUCUCUUACUUUUAAAUAAGAAAACAGACAGCUUUUGAUGUAAAUUUAUGGAAAAACACUUCAAAUGUUCAAAUUAUUACAAAGAAAUUAACAAAAAUGUUAGUAUUUUUGUAAGAAAAUACCACAUUGUUGCCAUGGUAAUGUUAGUAUUUUUGUAAGAAAAUACCACAUCGUUGCCAUGGUAAUGAUUCACUGAUCAGUAUAUCUAAAUCUUCUGAAAUUUUAGCAAACUCACAGUUGAUAAUAACAGUCUAAUAAUUAUAUCUUCUUGCCUGA
Long non-coding RNA from Mercenaria mercenaria, 1963 nucleotides. RefSeq lists it as uncharacterized. The record is from RefSeq and is a predicted model, not a curated record. Lineage: Eukaryota; Metazoa; Mollusca; Bivalvia; Venerida; Veneridae. The transcript has 3 exons.